Cotesia glomerata is the source of this 223-nucleotide long non-coding RNA. RefSeq lists it as uncharacterized. NCBI's taxonomy places the organism in Eukaryota, Metazoa, Arthropoda, Insecta, Hymenoptera, Braconidae. The transcript is spliced from 2 exons. The record is from RefSeq and is a predicted model, not a curated record.
AGUAAUAAUUUCUACAAUUUCAAAUUUUGGAGUUAAACAUUUUUCGAAUUUGCUGCAGUGAUUACUCGAAGACAAAUGAUCCGAUCACUACCAAAUUUUUUUCUGCAUGUUCUGUAUAUAGUUCUUCAUACAAUGACCCUCCAGUUUUUUGAUUUGAUCAAAAAUCGAAUUUUGGCAGGCCAAAAACGACCAAAAUUUUGGGUAAAAUUCAACUUUUUUUUUU